Molecule: long non-coding RNA, 275 nt
Filed under: Malus domestica (apple)
Lineage: Eukaryota; Viridiplantae; Streptophyta; Magnoliopsida; Rosales; Rosaceae
Description: long non-coding RNA (MDOM_LNC003120)
Source: RNAcentral
UGAAACUCAAAACUCGUCACUUUACUCCUUGAAACUCAAAAUUCAUUUUACAUUGCUUUUGUUUCUAUUUCUUAGAAUAUGUGCAUCCAUUCAAAGUUUAUAAUUGAUAAUAUACCAAAUUUCUCCCUGAAAUAAAUAAAUAGUAAAAGAACUAUCUUCUCCCUUCACUAGCCACCUCCAUUACGUGCAUAAGAAAUAAUGAAAUCAAUAGAACUAAUGAUAAGGUGGUUGGCGAUGGAGGGAGGAGGAAUGAAUGUAUGGACAACUAUUAGAGA